RNAcentral lists this ribosomal RNA (231 nucleotides) under uncultured bacterium. RNAcentral describes it as "partial 16S ribosomal RNA". It matches the Rfam family "Bacterial small subunit ribosomal RNA", at positions 100 to 334 of the family's 1533-position model. The record is from RNAcentral.
CGGGACGGGUGAGUAAUGUCUGGGAAACUGCCUGAUGGAGGGGGAUAACUACUGGAAACGGUAGCUAAUACCGCAUAACGUCGCAAGACCAAAGAGGGGGACCUUCGGGCCUCUUGCCAUCGGAUGUGCCAGAUGGGAUUAGCUAGUAGGUGGGGUAACGGCUCACCUAGGCGACGAUCCCUAGCUGGUCUGAGAGGAUGCCAGCCACACUGGAACUGAGACACGGUCCAG